UGGGGAAUUUUGGACAAUGGGCGAAAGCCUGAUCCAGCAAUGCCGCGUGUGUGAAGAAGGCCUUCGGGUUGUAAAGCACUUUUGUCCGGAAAGAAAUGGCUCUGGUUAAUACCUGGGGUCGAUGACGGUACCGGAAGAAUAAGGACCGGCUAACUACGUGCCAGCAGCCGCGGUAAUACGUAGGGUCCAAGCGUUAAUCGGAAUUACUGGGCGUAAAGCGUGCGCAGGCGGUUGUGCAAGACCGAUGUGAAAUCCCCGAGCUUAACUUGGGAAUUGCAUUGGUGACUGCACGGCUAGAGUGUGUCAGAGGGGGGUAGAAUUCCACGUGUAGCAGUGAAAUGCGUAGAGAUGUGGAGGAAUACCGAUGGCGAAGGCAGCCCCCUGGGAUAACACUGACGCUCAUGCACGAAAGCGUGGGGAGCAAACAGGAUUAGAUACCCUGGUAGUCCACGCCCUAAACGAUGUCAACUAGUUGUUGGGGAUUCAUUUCCUUAGUAACGUAGCUAACGCGUGAAGUUGACCG
RNAcentral lists this ribosomal RNA (523 nucleotides) under uncultured bacterium. RNAcentral describes it as "partial 16S ribosomal RNA". It matches the Rfam family "Bacterial small subunit ribosomal RNA", at positions 355 to 871 of the family's 1533-position model. The record is from RNAcentral.